RNAcentral lists this ribosomal RNA (125 nucleotides) under Callipsygma wilsonis. Lineage: Eukaryota; Viridiplantae; Chlorophyta; Ulvophyceae; Bryopsidales; Halimedaceae. The record is from RNAcentral.
UCUAGUGUCGAUAUUAAAUUGGAAACACUUCAACCCUCAACCCUUUUCGAAUUUGAAAGUGAAACAAUUUAAGGGUUUUCAUACUAUCGGGGCAGUCUGAUGGAAAACAAACCUGAUGCUAGAAG